ACAGAGGGCCCGAGCGUUAAUCGGAUUUACUGGGCUUAAAGGGUGCGUAGGCGGAUGCGUAAGUGUCCUGUGAAAUCCCAUGGCUCAACCAUGGAACGGCAGGGCAGACUGCGUGUCUUGAGGUCGGUAGAGGUUGCCGGAACUCUAGGUGUAGCGGUGAAAUGCGUAGAUAUCUAGAGGAACGCCAAAGGUGAAGACAGGCAACUGGGCCGAAUCUGACGCUGAGGCACGAAAGCGUGGGUAGCGAACGG
Molecule: ribosomal RNA, 251 nt
Filed under: uncultured prokaryote
Description: partial 16S rRNA
Rfam family: Bacterial small subunit ribosomal RNA
Source: RNAcentral